Long non-coding RNA from Osmerus eperlanus (European smelt), 416 nucleotides. RefSeq lists it as uncharacterized. The record is from RefSeq and is a predicted model, not a curated record. The transcript has 3 exons. Lineage: Eukaryota; Metazoa; Chordata; Actinopteri; Osmeriformes; Osmeridae.
GAAACAAGUCAAACAGAGAAAACAACAGAAACACAUACUGGACUUGGCUAAGGUGUGCUUUUGGGACAAUUACUGACAUAAAGAAGACUUCAGUGAAACUACCACAUUGUAUUUAAUUAUUUCAGGGGGGGUGAAGAGAUGGAAGAAAAAAGGACCAGAAGGAGAAUGCUGCUGUUGUGUUUAGCUGUGCUAACAACAUCGAUAACUGCGCAAACAACCAUAGAGGCUCCAACAACAACCACAGCUGCACCUACAACUACAACAGAGGCUCCAACAACAAUAACAGCCGCUCCUACUACAACCACAGCUUCUGCCACUACAACCACAGCUGAACCUACAACUACCACAGAGGCUCCAACAACAACCACAGCUUCUGCCACUACAACCACAGCUGGCCCUACAACUACAACAGAGGC